This 396-nucleotide ribosomal RNA is filed under the name uncultured bacterium. RNAcentral describes it as "bacterial SSU rRNA". It matches the Rfam family "Bacterial small subunit ribosomal RNA", at positions 28 to 430 of the family's 1533-position model. The record is from RNAcentral.
GACGAACGCUGGCGGCGUGCUUAACACAUGCAAGUCGAGCGGUAAGGCCCUUUCGGGGGUACACGAGCGGCGAACGGGUGAGUAACACGUGGGUGACCUGCCCUCAGCUCUGGGAUAAGCCUGGGAAACUGGGUCUAAUACCGGAUAUGACUCCAUGACGCAUGUUGUGGGGUGGAAAGCCUUGUGCGGCUGAGGAUGGGCCCGCGGCCUAUCAGCUUGUUGGUGGGGUGAGGCCUACCAAGGCGACGACGGGUAGCCGGCCUGAGAGGGCGACCGGCCACACUGGGACUGAGACACGGCCCAGACUCCUACGGGAGGCAGCAGUGGGGAAUCUUGCGCAAUGGGCGAAAGCCUGACGCAGCGACGCCGCGUGAGGGAUGACGGCCUGGUGUAACU